GCAGCCGCCAUGAGGCGUCCCCUCAGCUCCUCUGCUCCGGGCCCAACAAAUCGUGUUGAGUCCGCCAGCUCUGGUAUCCAACCUGACCCUCCCCUGGUCUCAAAUUCACGUUUGUUUCCCAGUUGGUUCAGCAGAAUCAUAACUUCUGCUUUACAUAAGUGUAUUACCUUGAAAGUGUCACGCAACAUAACCAUGCUUUGCUUAUCUCAGUUCUGCAAUAUUUUAUUUAAUCCGAUCCCUUUGCCAGAUCAGAGGUGCUAAAGCUUUCACGUCACCCCCAGAUAUGAAUUUUCUCCAAAGACAGCAAGGUGCUGAAAUUGACUGCUGAGACCUUUACAUUUCAAGAGUAAAGCCUCAGUCCUUUUAACUUCAUGUUUAUAUUCCUCAACAUGGAAUCUAAUGCCUUUUAUAUGAAGUGACACAGCCAAGAAACUCCAAGGGGCAGAAAGACCAAGUGAUGGCGGAAGGAACAGCACACAGCCCGGGAGCAACGUGAAAAAUGUAACGUGAAAAUGUGCCCCAGGAUCCGCCCCAUCUCAGCGAAGCGCGUUCUGAGCGAUUCGGGACGAGGAGGAUCCGUCUGCAGUACGCACUCACUCAUACAUUGGAAAAAAAUGCGCUGUCCUUUAAAGGAAGGGUGAAAAAAGGGAAGUUUUAUGAGCAUCAAACUUUUUUGAACCUAUGUUGUGCUGCAAACGCUGUGGGAUGGGACGUCCUGCAGUACCGUACGUAUAAAUGUGCUUAUGGAGCAUCUUAUGUCUGCGUAAGUGUGUUUAUGGAGCAUGAGGAAAGAAGGUGGAUGGGUGGCAGAAGGGGUAAAGGAAA
Molecule: non-coding RNA, 825 nt
Organism: Meleagris gallopavo (turkey)
Lineage: Eukaryota; Metazoa; Chordata; Aves; Galliformes; Phasianidae
Source: RefSeq, a predicted model, not a curated record